This 252-nucleotide ribosomal RNA is filed under the name uncultured bacterium. Its description in RNAcentral is "partial 16S ribosomal RNA". It matches the Rfam family "Bacterial small subunit ribosomal RNA", at positions 524 to 776 of the family's 1533-position model. The record is from RNAcentral.
UACGAAGGGGGCGAGCGUUGUUCGGAUUUACUGGGCGUAAAGGGCUCGUAGGUGGCCAACUAAGUCAGACGUGAAAUCCCCAGGCUUAACCUGGGAACUGCGUCUGAUACUGGAUGGCUUGAAUUCGGGAGAGGGAUGCAGAAUUCCAGGUGUAGCGGUGAAAUGCGCAGAUAUCAGGAAGAACACCGGUGGCGAAAGCGCUCUGCUAGGCCGCAACUGACACUGAGGACGAAAGCUAGGGGAGCGAAUGGG